Molecule: long non-coding RNA, 1431 nt
Filed under: Gallus gallus (chicken)
Lineage: Eukaryota; Metazoa; Chordata; Aves; Galliformes; Phasianidae
Source: RNAcentral
GUUUAAUGGAGGAGAAACCAAAGACGGUUAAUCAGAAUGUGGAGUGGAGGUGAAUUCCUGUCACCUUGCUUGUAAUUUGUAGUCUUUUCCACUCCUACUCUGAGCGGUGAAUCAGUAGGUGAUAAAAAUGUCUCCUCUCAAAGAAAUGAUCUAUUGGUGGAAGAUCUGCCACCGCUAAGAUAAUGUGUUGUUUUUCCACAUGCACUUCCAUCCUGGAUAAAUUUAAGUUCACUUUUGAAACUAGUUUCUGAUCUGACCAUUCUAAAUAUCCUGGUGUCCCCUGUGAAGUUAUUGAUCUUUUUAUGAAGGCACUCUACAUAAAGGGCAGGAGCAUCUCUGUUAAUCCUCUUAGACCAGUUCUCUGCCCAGCUUGGCUAAGUUUGACUUUGCACUAUUUUGUGAGAGCAAAAUAGCACACCAACUGUGACUCAAAGUGUAGUCCGUGAAAUAACUUACAGUGAACGUAUAGAGCACAAAGGGGAGCUUGCCACAGUGGUAAGGCAUAGAAAAUGUCCCAAAGAACCAAGAAGUAAUAUGGCUAUACUUCAAGUGCAAACACAUAGAAAGGGUUCCUCAGCUAUGCUCCUGAGCAGCAGGUACUUCUGGCUUCAUGGUGUCCUCACACAUGAUCCUCUAAGGGCUAUCACAGCAUCAAGAGGUUGGAUGCUGCUGUUGUGGAAUUUGUAAGGAGGACUGGGAACAUCGGAAGAGCCUUUGGGAAUAUCUCAGCUGAAAGAAGUAGGUAGGAAAAGCACCCAAGUGUAGCUGAAGUCUGUUCAAAAACAGAUGCAAACUGUGAAGGAACAAAAAAGCUGUAACAGCUAUAGUGAAAAUAUUUAGAACCAGAUUUAACCUUGAUGUUUCUCUCUUGUCAAAGACACAGAAAAGCUUCAGGAGCAACUCAAUUCCAUCCAUCCGGAAGAAAUACCCUAGGAUUUGGCAAGAGUCAUCAGACGGAAUUUUUCUAGAACAAGUCACUGUUUCAAAGACAGACUCUACCUGAAAUACAUAAAAUUGUUAGAGAUCUUUUUUUACACUUCAUGUUUCCUCUUUUGACCAGGACCAGUAAUGCCAGAAUUUCAUAUGAAAAGCUGGCUUUGCUGGGUUUUGGCCACUGUCUGAAGUCAGAGAGCUUUUUUAUGAGAGAAAAUUUUUAUGUGAGAGAAUUUCACUGGUCCCUGAUCUGCUGAAUUAUAGGAGACAUGUAAAUGCCAGAUAAACAUUAGCCUUCAGGUACUUGACUGAACCCUGACUCUGAAAAUUAUGAAGACCGGUCAAAUUUUCCUCUGACUAUUCCUUUUCUUUUGGUAGGUAGAAAAAAGACGUGUUCCCCCCAGAAUGCAUGUAACUGACACUCCUCUUAAGGCUCAAAUUAUUUUACCAUUCUAUUUGAAGAACACUCAGAAUAACUCUCGAGAGCUCUGGUUCAUC